Molecule: ribosomal RNA, 303 nt
Filed under: uncultured bacterium
Lineage: Bacteria
Description: partial 16S ribosomal RNA
Rfam family: Bacterial small subunit ribosomal RNA
Source: RNAcentral
AGCAGCCGCCGCGGGAAUACGUAGGUGGCAAGCGUUGUCCGGAAUUAUUGGGCGUAAAGGGCUCGCAGGCGGUUUCUUAAGUCUGAUGUGAAAGCCCCCGGCUCAACCGGGGAGGGUCAUUGGAAACUGGGAAACUUGAGUGCAGAAGAGGAGAGUGGAAUUCCACGUGUAGCGGUGAAAUGCGUAGAGAUGUGGAGGAACACCAGUGGCGGAGGCGACUCUCUGGUCUGUAACUGACGCUGAGGAGCGAAAGCGUGGGGAGCGAACAGGAUUAGAUACCCCCGUAGUCCCUGUCUCUUAUAC